GGGGGGGGCCAGGAAGAUCGGGAGAGGGGGAGGUGCGCAGAGCCGCCCGCCGCUCCUCACCCGGGCCGGGAGAAGUCGCCCCCCGCACCCCCCCACGAGUCCGUCCUCUCCAUUCAAGUUCGCCGGGCCUUGCCGCCGGGAUCGGGGAUGGCCCCCAGCUGCCCGCCCAGCUCUGCGUCCUGUUUCCAGCCACCGCGCAGAAAUUUAGGUCAAGGACGUCGGGAGCAAACCCACACCCUGGAGCUCUUCGGGAGGCCCCCGAGACCCCCCCACCCCAGGAUCGGGAUGGAGGGGGGGCUUCAGGAUGGCGGAGAACCCCCAGCACAAACAUCAGCCACAAGUUUUAUUUUGCCUUCGCGCUGCAAGUUCGGCGCUCGCUCCACACCGGCACGUCCUGCGCGGCUCCCCGCCCUUCCCCGCAGAGCCCUUCUCACUCUCUGAAAUUACCGUGUAAUUUCUGUGUCCUUGCUAAUCACCUGCUACCCACUUCCGUCCACACAAGCAGGGACCUCACCUGUCGUGUUCACUGCUCGGGCCCAACACACAGUGGCUGGAAGACAUUGGCUGAAGAAGUGAUUUUAGACAGAAAGAGAAAGCAACAGUUGAGAUGAACACAAAGUGCGAAUGAAAUGUACAGAUAUGAAUGCAUUCACACACACAUAAAAUCAAGCUACAGAGAAAUUUUUUCUUUCUUUUUUUUUGCG
This 704-nucleotide long non-coding RNA is filed under the name Heterocephalus glaber (naked mole-rat). RNAcentral describes it as "lncRNA (ENSHGLG00100036155.1)". The record is from RNAcentral. Lineage: Eukaryota; Metazoa; Chordata; Mammalia; Rodentia; Bathyergidae.